Molecule: long non-coding RNA, 1608 nt
Organism: Ailuropoda melanoleuca (giant panda)
Lineage: Eukaryota; Metazoa; Chordata; Mammalia; Carnivora; Ursidae
Exons: 4
Source: RefSeq, a predicted model, not a curated record
GGACAUUUCUGAGUGGAUCUCAGGCCUCCCUUUCUGAGAGGAAUCGGGGGUACAUGAGAUCACUGUGGAUCAGGUGUGGGAGUAAAGAUGUGAAGGGAGUGACCCUCUGUUUUCUUUGCUCCCAGGGAAUCGAUAAAGAUAGAUGAAGCUUCUUCAAACAUAAACAGAGCCCACCUUUGUUCUCCACUUCAAGGAGUUAAUCUCUGAGGAAGUAAACAUCAUCUCUCAGCUUUAGCAGAAGGGAAGCUGCCAUUCCACGAGGGCAAGUCAAACUGGAUGAAGGUGCAUUAAAAAGGCAGAAAAAACGGUGAAGGGCAGGAUGGCUCAUCGAAUCUCUCACCCUUGCCUAAUGGUGUGCGGACAAGAAAAUGUCAAGUGGGCAUACUGGAAGCAUGUGGCCAAGAACAGCGCCCUCAUGGAGGAGGGGGGGUGCCCUUCAGGGUUCCCCCACCUUCCUGAGACCCAGAUACAGGCACUGCUGUCAUCCACCCUCUCCGCGAUGGACACGUGUGCCCACCCAGCGGCGGGCGGGGCUCAAAGCUAGACCACACUGCCACAGCUGACAGGAAAGGCUAGAAGAAUAGGCUGAAUGCUGCCCUGUGCUCGGGCAAGUCUCGUCUCUGCUUUUGCCAUGGACAUGAUGUCAGCGUCCCACAGAAAACUCAGCAUUGUCAAAUGCUUUGCAAACAGAACAUGUGUCAGAAAAAUGCACAUUCCCAAGGCCUGCAGGUGGCUGGGCCAGCCACAUCUGUCAUUCCGCCGACGAGGACGCCCUAAUUCCCCCCAGGGCUAUAAACCUCACUUCUCACCCGGACUCUGGACACCAUCACUCAAGGGCCAUUGGAGCAGGAGGGGCUGCCCACGUGACCUAAUGACUUAACCAGGUGAGGCUCCUAGGCACUUUGGGUUUUUAGACAACGGUGCCUCAGAGGAAGUGUUCCCUACCGCUCUGGGGGAAACGGGCAACUGUAAAUCAGGUAACAGUAUGGCACUGACUUAUUUAUCCUUGUAAGAGUUUCACAUUCUGAAGUCAACAAGGGACCCAUUGCCCGAUCCACGGCCAAUUUGCAGUCAGCACUUAGGGAAAUCUUAAUCCCCCUUGUUUGGCCGGGGGGCCUGCCAGGGGCUUGUAGGAGCCAAGGCACCCCAUAGCGCCGAGCCCGAUCCAUCGAUCGUGUCUCUUGGUCUGGGCCAAAUGUCAUCUUCCCAGGGACAGAAAGUCACCAAACAGUGGGAAACAUUUACUCUCUGCUCGAAGAAUGCUCUUUCCCUUCUUUCCACUUGUCCUCUGUGUUCUUCCUCCGUGAGGGAAUGUGUGGCUGGACAGUGGCUGCACCCAGGCAGACAUGCUGGCGAAUCCCAAGACGUCGACGCAGUUCGAGAGCAGCUUUCAGGACUGAGGCUGCUGCUGGUUAGCGGUCAAGGCCGAGGCCGAGCUCAGUGCCCCAUCACCAGUUAUGGUGCGUCCUUACAAGAGAGCAUCAGGAAGCUAUGAAAAAUAUUGUUUUCAAUGAAUUUUUAUGACUGAAAAAUGCUCAUGACAUGAAUUAAGACCAAAUGAAGAUGUAAAACCCACAUGCGGAUACAGAACAUGACCCAAACGAUCUA